CGAACGCUGGCGGCGUGCUUACCACAUGCAAGUCGAACGGUGAAGCGCCUUCCUUUUUGGUGGGUGUGGAUGAGUGGCGAACGGGUGAGUAACACGUGAGUAACCUGCCCCCUUCUUCUGGAUAACCGCAUGAAAGUGUGGCUAAUACGGGAUAUUCUGGGUCUGUCGCAUGAUGGGUCUGGGAAAGAUAUUGUUUCGGUGGGGGAUGGGCUCGCGGCCUAUCCGCUUGUUGGUGGGGUGAUGGCCUACCAAGGCGGUGACGGGUAGCCGGCCUGAGAGGGUGGACGGUCACACUGGGACUGAGACACGGCCCAGACUCCUACGGGAGGCAGCAGUGGGGAAUAUUGCACAAUGGGCGCAAGCCUGAUGCAGCGACGCCGCGUGAGGGAUGGAGGCCUUCGGGUUGUGAACCUCUUUCGCCAGUGAAGCAGGCCUGCCUCGUUUGUGGGUGGGUUGACGGUAGCUGGAUAAGAAGCGCCGGCUAACUACGUG
RNAcentral lists this ribosomal RNA (492 nucleotides) under uncultured bacterium. Its description in RNAcentral is "partial 16S ribosomal RNA". It matches the Rfam family "Bacterial small subunit ribosomal RNA", at positions 30 to 507 of the family's 1533-position model. The record is from RNAcentral.